UGCACAGUUCUCAAAAUUGAAUACCUUUAUGGUCGAGAUAAACUAGUAUAUCGUAUAUAUGUAUAUAUAUUAGGGUUCGCAGUUAUGUGCAUACAUAUCGUUUUUUUCCUUCAUUUAAUAACAGAUCUAUCACUUGAAAAUGUUUAUCUUCACAAAUAAAUCCACUUUAUCAAGUCAACCAAAGAUUUGUGAUAUCUCCCAGAUUAAUUUUGCAAAACUAUUGUAUUCAUUCUAAUACGCAAACAACAUCACCCUGACUACGAGGUUGUUGUUCGGUUAUCACCGCUGGGGAUUAGACUGAAAGCACUGACGUGGAAUCUUCAUGUUAGUAAAAGCUUGUAAGGUUGAAUAAAGCCGCAGUUGAACAACUUGAUUAAAUUGUGGAGGACAGGUUGAGAACAAUUUCCCAAUUUUUUUUACAUAUUCAAUGUAAUAAUUCUUAACGCUUGAUAAUUGAAUUUAAAAAAUGAGUCCAACAAUCGCUGUGCCUCCGCCAGUGCAGGUUCCCGUUGCCCAUGAAAAUUUGGCUCUGCGUGAUUUACAAACCCAACAAAACAGUGAUGACAACACUACUAACCAAACGAUGUAUGAAAGAGUUUUCUUUUUUCAAAAAAUAUUCCUGACAGUUUCAAUCUUCAACAUGGGCUUAACUGGAUGGAUCGGAAGAUUUCCAAUAAUCUUUCCUCUAUCUUUGGAGAAUGCCCCGGUUCGAGUGAGGAAAAUCAAUUCUUCCCCAAAAACUAUUGGAUUGUCUAUUAAGACGACGAAAAACCCGGCCUUUGUGAUUUACAGGUAUGGAGAAGACGAGAAACGCGUGGACAUAUUUUGCCCCGAGCUGAAAGAGCCAAUUGGACAAAUACUGAUAAAACAUAAGAGUAGGAAGCAAUUGGCCACCCGAUCCCGUCGCCCUGUUUGAGUGCAUCGUAUCCCGUCUCCAUUACCGUGCAUUUAAAAUGGCGUCUAUUUAGGUACUUAAAAUGCAUAUGUAUGUUGCUAUUGGUUGGUGAUGAAUUGUGGUGGUGGUGGUGGGGGGUGGCGAGGGUAAAUGUGCUGAUGGAUGUUGGUGUGUGAGGGUGGUGUCGCCGGGGGGCAGUGUGCUGCUCCCCCUGGCAGUGGGUGUGGUCAUGGUCGAACUUUAAAUUUUUUAUUGAUUCAAUAUUUUGCAUAGAGUGCUGGGAGAGUAUAAAGUUUAAUUUUUGUAAAAUAUUAUUAUCGUUGUUUAAGGUCUCUACGUAGAUUUCUAAUGAGCAUUUCGAUCUCCAUUAGUCUAAGUGAGACGGCAUCCCGUGUGUAGAUUGGCAGCCGGUCUGAUUCCGGUUCCGAUGCGGUGGAGGAACUGGAGUCUUCUGUUUCCGUUGAAAUGAUUCUGCGUUUUUUUGCAGAGGAAUCUGUGAAGAAUAGAGUAUAAUAUUGAGUUUGAAUUUUAAUAUAAUAAAAUGACUUGUAGAAUUCUUACGAGAGGCUGCAAUUUCCUCAUUUCUCUCUGCCAUCGUAGAUUUUUACAGAUUUCUUCCGGAAAUGUGGGAAUGCUUCGUAAUGUUGCGGUCAGUUCCUCUUUCAUUACUGCCGUCAGUUCUUCCGUGGGGUGCAUGAGCAUCCGCUUGAUUAAUUGAACCGACCGAAAUAGGCUUCUCCCCAACUUUUUGGGAAGAGUUUCCUACAAUAUGAAAAGUAGUGUACAAAAGUUAAACUCUAUGGAUUUCCACCCACUCACUGUUAAAGUUGCAUUUAUUGGACUUCGAAGCAGUAAUUCCACAAAGGUGGAUGGAUGUAGUGGUGCAGAUACAUUAUUUAACGUGUCGUUGAGCCCUAAAAAAAUAACUAAAGUCAACGACACGGUGCACAUGGGUAGAUUAUUAGUUGAAUUUAAUAUUAUUAGCAAUGCAUUGUACCUGUCUGGGUCAUUAAUGUAUCAUUGGUUGGUUUUUCGCUACUUUUAUAAAGUUGCAAAGCAGGUUCAGUUGUGGUGAUCAAUAUUGUUGAUGUGAAUGGAGUAGGAGUAGUGGUAACAAUAAUCAAGGGGGCGGCGGUAGUACUUGUACUCGUAUUAUUUUUUAACGCAUCGGUGAGCCCUAAAUAAUGGCACGGUGCACAUGAGUGGUUACAUAUUUAUUUGUGAAUUUAAUAUGAUACACAAUUUAUUGUAAUAUACGAGGGAAGGACCAUAAGUAAUCGGAUACGCCGUGAAGGAGCAAUAAAUUUGGGAGACUUAAUUCAUCACUUAUUAAUAUGGUCCCCUGCAAGGUUAAUACACGUGGUCCAGUUUUAUUUGAAAGAACCUAUCCUGGUUUUAAAAAUUGUUUCGUGUUGCUGGUCAAAAAACCUAGAAAAUCAAAUAAAUAGUCGAAAAUCACUUUCCCCGGGAGGUUUUUUUAAAAUGUCGAUAUUGGUAGUACUCAGUGGGGGUCUGGUCUAGACUACAAGGUGAAAUAAUUCUGUCAUCUUGUUGCUUAAAAUGGCACCCUGUUCAACUUUGGAUAUUUGAACGGGUGAAAAUGAGGUAAAUGACGCCGUUUUAGUCCCUUUCGUUUCUCCACAACAGGUUGUCGCAAACUCUUCAAAAUUUCUGCAUAAGUAGCAUCAGUUAUCGUAGUUUUAUGUGAGAGAAUAUCUAAAAUUAGAAUUUCUUCCAAGUCCCAAUAAUUUUUUGUCAUUACCUUAAAAGCUGGUUUUUUAGCGAUGAGCGUUUUUGGGGGAAUACAGUCAGUAUAUGUCCACUGCAUAUUUUUCUGCUUACCCAAAGGGUCAUAAAACUGAACCCAGGUUUUGUCCCCAACGAAUAGCUAAGCAUAUAGUAUUUGCUUCUGUUUUGAAGGUCUAAAUUUUUAUGACAAAAAUGCGCUUGAAUUUUUUUUGCUCGAUGCUCAAAUUCAUUUGAACCAAUUUUUCACUAACCUAAUUCAGGAGAAGAUAAUCAUGUGGGAUUCUGACGACACUUGUUUUAUGAAUGCCCAAUUACCGAGCUAUUUCCCAAGCUAUUACUCGACUGUUGGUGAUGACCAGGUCAUUGAUUUUCUGGAGAGUUAGGUCAUCAAUCACGAAAAUAGCUCGACCUUGUUUUUCAUCGGAUUAAAGUGAUUUUCUGCCAAUGCGAAGUUUCUUAGCCCAUUUAUGAAAUAUUUACAAUGAAGAGGUUGAAUUUGGGAAAAAUUUAAGGGUACAUUGAUGAAUAUCCGCCGGGGGGGGGGGUCCCUUGAAACGUUAAAGUCCGCAUCACAGGAAAAUACUCAAUUUUAGUGAUUUCAGUUUUUUCAUUGUAUUCCGUUACAUCCAACCACUUCCUCGACCCUGCAAUGGUCGUAUGCUAAUCAAACUUUCAGCAUAAGAUGCAUAAAAGUUUCUCUUUCAAACAACCCGAAAAGGUGGGGCAAAAAGAGACUCCUUCAAGGCGUAUCCGAUUACUUAUGGUCAGCCCUCCGUACAUACCAGCCUGAAUCAUUAAUUGCGCGCUUGAGUAAUUUCCUAUUUUUUCACGAUCUUUAGAAAAUUUCAGGGCAGGUUGAAUGGUUGUGGUGGGGGUUGGUAUGGUUGAUGUCGGAGUAAUGGUGGUGGUGAUAAUUGAGGGUGCAACAGUAGUACUUGUACUGGUACGCAAAUAUUCCAACUUUUGCGCAAAUAUAUAAUCAUCUGAAAUAAUUAAUUGUACAUACUGUGAUACCUAAAUUUUAGAAACUUUUGAGUGUUAUGAAUAAAGUAGUACCUUUCUUAAAAAAUGCACAUCGUCUCUUGGAUCUGAAGACUUACGCCAAGCCCACAAUAAUUGGCUUUCAGGUUCUAGAGCUCACAAAGUUGGCAGUGAUGCAGGGAUUCGAUCGUAUCCAAACAGCCUUUCCUGGAUGCAGGAUCAUUUCAGGCAACACUGAUUCCCUUUCAGUGCUUAUCAAGGACCCAGAGGGGACAUUUAUGUCGAAAAUGCGUCUACUCGAGGACAUUUUUGACAUGUCCGAGAUCCCCAUUUCCUCCUCAUUGUUCUCUAGAAAAAAUUCAAAUGUUCCUGGUAUGUGGAAGCCAAUAUGCUUUGGCAACAUACUAGAAUUCAUCUCCUUGGGCCCCUCGUCCUAUUCGUACCUUCCAAUAUGUGAAUCUUGCAUGGGGGAGAGACCGGCGGAAUGCCUGCAUUGUGUGGGUGUGCUAAACGGGUUACAGAAAUCCAGUGGAAUACCAAAAUCAAUUCAACAAAGAAUUACUCAUCACACCUACAAAUCUUUCCUUCGUGAACAUUUACUAUCAAGCUAUCAGCACAACCAACUAUUGGCCACUUCGACUGGAUUAACCUUGCAAAAAAUGAAGCGACGAGCAUUUGCUGGCAUCCAGCAAACAAGAUUCUAUGUAAAUGAGAACGAAAGUGUCCCCUUUGGACAUUAUUCAGUUCCAGUUGUACAAUAAUUAUAUAAAACAUGUUUGUGGUAUUCGUUGUACUUAUUGUACAUUAUAUAGCUAUAUUUGUUAUGCACUUUUUGUGCACUAGAAUUAUUUCAAUAGAACUAUGAAUACUAGUGUAUAUUUUAUUUUGCGUAAUUUAGGAAACAAAAAAAUACAAAAUUGUCAAAUAAUCACAAAAAUAUAAACAUAUAUUUAGUAGGAUAUAAUUGUAAGAUUUAAACAGAACCCAGCGUUAGAUUUAUUGAAAUUUUAAUGUAUGUAGGGUAAUCUGUGAGAGAAAAGACUUUAUGUACAUACAUAAAUAUGUGUGCAAUUCAUUUUAGUUUAAUGUACUUUUAAUGAAAUAAUUAUGUAGACUGUUUAUCUUCCGACCGACCAUUACCGUUGAAAUUUGACUGAAUAAUUUACAACUGAAAAACAGGUUCGCUCACAAAUUGCGCAGAUCAUGAUUAUGUGUUAAUUGGCAAACUCAAAUUAAUAAAUGUGGGCGAAGUGACUGAAAAUUA
Folsomia candida is the source of this 4889-nucleotide long non-coding RNA. RefSeq lists it as uncharacterized. The transcript has 4 exons. The record is from RefSeq and is a predicted model, not a curated record. Lineage: Eukaryota; Metazoa; Arthropoda; Collembola; Entomobryomorpha; Isotomidae.